RNAcentral lists this ribosomal RNA (496 nucleotides) under uncultured bacterium. RNAcentral's name for it is "partial 16S ribosomal RNA". It matches the Rfam family "Bacterial small subunit ribosomal RNA", at positions 29 to 507 of the family's 1533-position model. The record is from RNAcentral.
AUGAACGCUGGCGGCGUGCCUAAUACAUGCAAGUCGAGCGAACGGACGAGAAGCUUGCUUCUCUGAUGUUAGCGGCGGACGGGUGAGUAACACGUGGAUAACCUACCUAUAAGCCUGGGAUAACUUCGGGAAACCGGAGCUAAUACCGGAUGAUAUUUUGAACCGCAUGGUUCAAAAGUGAAAGACGGUCUUGCUGUCACUUAUAGAUGGAUCCGCGCUGCAUUAGCUAGUUGGUAAGGUAACGGCUUACCAAGGCAACGAUGCAUAGCCGACCUGAGAGGGUGAUCGGCCACACUGGAACUGAGACACGGUCCAGACUCCUACGGGAGGCAGCAGUAGGGAAUCUUCCGCAAUGGGCGAAAGCCUGACGGAGCAACGCCGCGUGAGUGAUGAAGGUCUUCGGAUCGUAAAACUCUGUUAUUAGGGAAGAACAUAUGUGUAAGUAACUGUGCACAUCUUGACGGUACCUAAUCAGAAAGCCACGGCUAACUACGUG